RNAcentral lists this ribosomal RNA (301 nucleotides) under uncultured bacterium. Its description in RNAcentral is "partial 16S ribosomal RNA". It matches the Rfam family "Bacterial small subunit ribosomal RNA", at positions 509 to 807 of the family's 1533-position model. The record is from RNAcentral.
CAGCAGCCGCGGUAAUACGAAGGGGGCUAGCGUUGCUCGGAAUGACUGGGCGUAAAGGGCGCGUAGGCGGCGAUCAAAGUCAGGCGUGAAAUUCCUGGGCUCAACCUGGGGGCUGCGUUUGAUACUUGAUUGCUAGAGUGGGGAAGAGGGUCGUGGAAUUCCCAGUGUAGAGGUGAAAUUCGUAGAUAUUGGGAAGAACACCGGUGGCGAAGGCGGCGACCUGGUCCUUGACUGACGCUGAGGCGCGAAAGCGUGGGGAGCAAACAGGAUUAGAUACCCGUGUAGUCCCUGUCUCUUAUAC